Long non-coding RNA from Hippocampus comes (tiger tail seahorse), 87 nucleotides. RefSeq lists it as uncharacterized. NCBI's taxonomy places the organism in Eukaryota, Metazoa, Chordata, Actinopteri, Syngnathiformes, Syngnathidae. The record is from RefSeq and is a predicted model, not a curated record. The transcript is spliced from 3 exons.
AAGUUACUUGUAAAUGUAGGCUCACUAAAAUUUCUGCAGCUGUCAUAGUAUCUUCAUGGUCGGCUUGAUAUCUUCAAUUUUAUAUGC